This 468-nucleotide ribosomal RNA is filed under the name uncultured bacterium. Its description in RNAcentral is "partial 16S ribosomal RNA". It matches the Rfam family "Bacterial small subunit ribosomal RNA", at positions 28 to 507 of the family's 1533-position model. The record is from RNAcentral.
GACGAACGCUGGCGGCGUGCUUAACACAUGCAAGUCGAACGGAAAGGCCCUGCUUUUGUGGUGUUCUCGAGUGGCGAACGGGUGAGUAACACGUGAGUAACCUGCCCUUGACUUUGGGAUAACUUCAGGAAACUGGGGCUAAUACCGGAUAGGAGCUCCUGCUGCAUGGUGGGGGUUGGAAAGUUUCGGCGGUUGGGGAUGGACUCGCGGCUUAUCAGCUUGUUGGUGGGGUAGUGGCUUACCAAGGCUUUGACGGGUAGCCGGCCUGAGAGGGUGACCGGCCACAUUGGGACUGAGAUACGGCCCAGACUCCUACGGGAGGCAGCAGUGGGGAAUAUUGCACAAUGGGAGGAAGCCUGAUGCAGAAACGCCGCGUGCGGGAUGACGGCCUUCGGGUUGUAAACCGCUUUCGCCUGUGACGAAGCGUGAGUGACGGUAAUGGGUAAAGAAGCACCGGCUAACUACGUG